RNAcentral lists this ribosomal RNA (489 nucleotides) under uncultured bacterium. Its description in RNAcentral is "partial 16S ribosomal RNA". It matches the Rfam family "Bacterial small subunit ribosomal RNA", at positions 29 to 507 of the family's 1533-position model. The record is from RNAcentral.
AUGAACGCUAGCUACAGGCUUCACACAUGCAAGUCGCGGGGCAGCGGGAUUGAAGCUUGCUUCAAUUGCCGGCGACCGGCGCACGGGUGAGUAACGCGUAUCCAACCUUCCGUACACUCAGGGAUAGCCUUUCGAAAGAAAGAUUAAUACCUGAUGGUAUGAUGAGAUUGCAUGAUAUCAUCAUUAAAGAUUUAUCGGUGUACGAUGGGGAUGCGUUCCAUUAGGUAGUAGGCGGGGUAACGGCCCACCUAGCCAACGAUGGAUAGGGGUUCUGAGAGGAAGGUCCCCCACAUUGGAACUGAGACACGGUCCAAACUCCUACGGGAGGCAGCAGUGAGGAAUAUUGGUCAAUGGACGAGAGUCUGAACCAGCCAAGUAGCGUGAAGGAUGAAGGUCCUACGGAUUGUAAACUUCUUUUAUAAGGGAAUAAACCCUCCCACGUGUGGGAGCUUGUAUGUACCUUAUGAAUAAGCAUCGGCUAACUCCGUG